GACGACGCUGGCGGCGUGCCUAACACAUGCAAGUCGAGCGAGUGGAGUUCUUCGGAACAAGCUAGCGGCGGACGGGUGAGUAACACGUGGGCAACCUGCCUCAUAGAGGGGAAUAGCCUCCCGAAAGGGAGAUUAAUACCGCAUAAGAUUGUAGCUUCGCAUGAAGUAGCAAUUAAAGGAGCAAUCCGCUAUGAGAUGGGCCCGCGGCGCAUUAGCUAGUUGGUGAGGUAACGGCUCACCAAGGCGACGAUGCGUAGCCGACCUGAGAGGGUGAUCGGCCACAUUGGGACUGAGACACGGCCCAGACUCCUACGGGAGGCAGCAGUGGGGAAUAUUGCACAAUGGGGGAAACCCUGAUGCAGCAACGCCGCGUGAGUGAUGACGGCCUUCGGGUUGUAAAGCUCUGUCUUCAGGGACGAUAAUGACGGUACCUGAGGAGGAAGCCACGGCUAACUACGUG
This 460-nucleotide ribosomal RNA is filed under the name uncultured bacterium. Its description in RNAcentral is "bacterial SSU rRNA". It matches the Rfam family "Bacterial small subunit ribosomal RNA", at positions 33 to 507 of the family's 1533-position model. The record is from RNAcentral.